UGGUUUUGGACCCGUGUCUGCUGGUAGAUCCCCUGUCUUUGUGCGGCCGACUACCGGCGCCGUGUCCCGUCGAUUAUGUGACUUAUGUUACUGUUGCCUUUCAAGUGCUUGCGUGCUGGUACCCGAACUACGGGUAGUUGUGCUGAAUACACGUUGCCUCGCGGUGGCCACCUUCGGGUGUGCCGCUGCGGCCAAAUGGCGCUUGUAGCGUUGCCUCGUGGUGCAGACACGUUUACUCUGUCGGUGCUAUCAAGGCAACCUUGCUCUCGCUUUUGGUCUCGGAUGUUGCCUACGUUAAAGUGUCUUGGCCCAUUUUGGUUGCCUUGACCCGACCCUAAGAAGCUCUCCGAAUUGAGAACAACCGGAGCAGGUGUUACGCAACAUUCUGCGCCGAUCCUCAAACAAGUAGGACGAGCUUAGCCCGCUCAAUCGCGACAACCGGCCCGGCCGUUGCCUCUGCCUUGACACGCAAGUGGAUCGGCGGACAACUUCCGACGCUGGACGUCAAAGAGGACG
This 516-nucleotide unclassified non-coding RNA is filed under the name Poa chapmaniana. Its description in RNAcentral is "partial external transcribed spacer". Lineage: Eukaryota; Viridiplantae; Streptophyta; Magnoliopsida; Poales; Poaceae. The record is from RNAcentral.